Molecule: long non-coding RNA, 850 nt
Organism: Pistacia vera
Lineage: Eukaryota; Viridiplantae; Streptophyta; Magnoliopsida; Sapindales; Anacardiaceae
Exons: 4
Source: RefSeq, a predicted model, not a curated record
AUCAUUGCCCUUUUAUUCCAGGAGAGCAUGUCUUCUUACUUUGUAUUUGUUAAUAUUCAAGGUGAGUCCUAAGAAUGUCGAGAUGAAAUCAAUGCAACUUCAAUGGAGUCACGUGUCACCUCGGAUGAAAGACUUGAAUAAAAUGUCUAGCUUAUGUCAUUUCUACAUUGGCUUAUGAUCAAUCAGUUUCUAUGGUGGAUAAGAGAGUAAAAAUCUCUAGUAUCUCAUUUAUUCAACUUUGGAGAUCAGGAGGUGUUCUGCUUAUAUAUCUUUGCUAGAGAAGGCUUGCUGGAUCUGAUAAGUUCAAGUCCUUACCAAAUCAACUAAACGGUCUCACAUCUCUUAAAAAGGAAAAAAAAGAGAAGGCAGGGCAAGAAAUCUCUUAAAGCAAAUGGAUGAGAUUUAAAAACAUUACAUCACUUCGGAAAUUUGUGAUCUGGCUGCAAGGUUGGAAAAUUAAGUUCACUAACACCAACAUGGCUAGAGAUUUGGAGAAAACCUGAAGAGGGUUAAAGCCACAAACCACUAGAUCAUUGCUUCACAAACUUGGGCCUCAUCGUGGUGCCAUGGCACCAUGAACUUAUUGAGAUGAUAAGAGGAAUGUGAAACCUGAAGAAUUGCCGUGGCAGGGCAGCAAUAUAAGCAAAGGAAUUGAGACAGUUUCUUCAUCUAAAGCAUAUUAAUGUUUUCACCACCACUAGCUUCUUCAAUUAUACGGGUGAAGAGUGAGUGUUGUGAAUCGUGAGGACUUCGCUUUUUGGCAUUUGUGUGUAUAAAAGCGGGAGAGUGUUAAAGAAAGUGAGAGAUGGGUGUACGAGGGUUUUGGGUUCGGGUUUGGGUUUGGGUUUAA